GUCUUGGUGGCGCAGUUGGCUAGCGCGUUGGUCUCAUAUUAUUCCGUAAUAUGAUCCAACCAUAGGUUGGGAUAUCCAGAGGUCGUGAGUUCGAGCCUCACCCAGGACA
Molecule: non-coding RNA, 109 nt
Organism: Daldinia caldariorum
Lineage: Eukaryota; Fungi; Ascomycota; Sordariomycetes; Xylariales; Hypoxylaceae
Source: the annotation of a RefSeq genome assembly